GCUGCUGUCCCAAAAUCACCGCAAGCGCAAAUACGAUCCAAAACUAAAAUACUCUAGCCAACUAGUGACGAAAGUAUCUAGAAAAAUUCUUCAGAACGGUAGGAGACUAACGAAACAAACGGAACACGAAUUGGAGCUCAAACGACCAAAUUACGAGUGAAACAAGAAAUCAUGACUAAGAAAAAAAUAGACAGAAAAUCCCCUGAAAAAUCGUUCAUCAUGGAAGAAUAAAAACUGCAGGAUACCCAAACGAAAUCUUUGCUAUGCUUCCGUUCCACGAACAGCCCACCAAGGGCAAGCACUGCUGUGCUUGUUUGCUCGACGCCGGCCCUGCAGAAACGGCAACC
RNAcentral lists this long non-coding RNA (347 nucleotides) under Sorghum bicolor (sorghum). RNAcentral describes it as "long non-coding RNA (SBIC_LNC011334)". The record is from RNAcentral. Lineage: Eukaryota; Viridiplantae; Streptophyta; Magnoliopsida; Poales; Poaceae.